CAGUCGCCACGGGAAUACGAAGGGGGCUAGCGUUGCUCGGAAUGACUAGGCGUAAAGGGCGCGUAGGCGGAUUGUUUAGUUAGGCGUGAAAUUCCUGGGCUUAACCUGGGGACUGCGCUUAAUACAGGCAGUCUAGAGUGAGGAAGAGGGUUGUGGAAUUCCCAGUGUAGAGGUGAAAUUCGUAGAUAUUGGGAAGAACACCGGUGGCGAAGGCGGCAACCUGGUCCUUGACUGACGCUGAGGCGCGAAAGCGUGGGGAGCAAACAGGAUUAGAGACCCCCGUAGUCCCUGUCUCUUAUAC
Molecule: ribosomal RNA, 301 nt
Filed under: uncultured bacterium
Lineage: Bacteria
Description: partial 16S ribosomal RNA
Rfam family: Bacterial small subunit ribosomal RNA
Source: RNAcentral